RNAcentral lists this long non-coding RNA (249 nucleotides) under Pelobates cultripes (western spadefoot toad). Lineage: Eukaryota; Metazoa; Chordata; Amphibia; Anura; Pelobatidae. The record is from RNAcentral.
AUAAUUCAGACAGUCCACACUGUGAAAUUGACAGAAUAUGGGUAUGCGAAGUUCUGUCCUGUAUGUGAAAUAUUCCACAAUUCAUUGAUAAAAUGUUCCCCUCCUCUUGACCCUGUCUCCUUACUUUCUGUAAGUUUAACCCAUUCCACUCACAACACGACCAGCAUUCAGAAUUGUUCUUUUCUGCGUCCUAGGAGAUUCUCGGUAUUACUAGAGUUUUGUCCCAGUGAUUACCUGCCUGAGGUUAUG